Molecule: non-coding RNA, 95 nt
Organism: Claviceps maximensis
Lineage: Eukaryota; Fungi; Ascomycota; Sordariomycetes; Hypocreales; Clavicipitaceae
Source: the annotation of a GenBank genome assembly
GGGCGGAUGGUUUAGUGGUAUAAUACUCCCUUAGCAUCGUGUCACUUUGUGGUCUGGUCUGGGAGUGGUCCGGGGUUCGAUUCCCCGUCUGUCCA